This 842-nucleotide ribosomal RNA is filed under the name Chryseobacterium daecheongense. RNAcentral describes it as "bacterial SSU rRNA". It matches the Rfam family "Bacterial small subunit ribosomal RNA", at positions 542 to 1391 of the family's 1533-position model. Lineage: Bacteria; Pseudomonadati; Bacteroidota; Flavobacteriia; Flavobacteriales; Weeksellaceae. The record is from RNAcentral.
AUCCGGGAUUUAUUGGGUUUAAAGGGUCCGUAGGCGGAUCAGUAAGUCAGUGGUGAAAUCUCAUAGCUUAACUAUGAAACUGCCAUUGAUACUGCUGGUCUUGAGUAAGGUAGAAGUAGCUGGAAUAAGUAGUGUAGCGGUGAAAUGCAUAGAUAUUACUUAGAACACCAAUUGCGAAGGCAGGUUACUAUGUCUUAACUGACGCUGAUGGACGAAAGCGUGGGGAGCGAACAGGAUUAGAUACCCUGGUAGUCCACGCUGUAAACGAUGCUAACUCGUUUUUGGGUUUUCGGAUUCAGAGACUAAGCGAAAGUGAUAAGUUAGCCACCUGGGGAGUACGAACGCAAGUUUGAAACUCAAAGGAAUUGACGGGGGCCCGCACAAGCGGUGGAUUAUGUGGUUUAAUUCGAUGAUACGCGAGGAACCUUACCAAGGCUUAAAUGGGAAUUGAUCGGUUUAGAAAUAGACCUUCCUUCGGGCAAUUUUCAAGGUGCUGCAUGGUUGUCGUCAGCUCGUGCCGUGAGGUGUUAGGUUAAGUCCUGCAACGAGCGCAACCCCUGUCACUAGUUGCCAUCAUUAAGUUGGGGACUCUAGUGAGACUGCCUACGCAAGUAGAGAGGAAGGUGGGGAUGACGUCAAAUCAUCACGGCCCUUACGCCUUGGGCCACACACGUAAUACAAUGGCCGGUACAGAGGGCAGCUACACAGCGAUGUGAUGCAAAUCUCGAAAGCCGGUCUCAGUUCGGAUUGGAGUCUGCAACUCGACUCUAUGAAGCUGGAAUCGCUAGUAAUCGCGCAUCAGCCAUGGCGCGGUGAAUACGUUCCCGGGCCUUGUACACACC